This 1809-nucleotide long non-coding RNA is filed under the name Salmo salar (Atlantic salmon). RNAcentral's name for it is "lncRNA (ENSSSAG00000111481.1)". Lineage: Eukaryota; Metazoa; Chordata; Actinopteri; Salmoniformes; Salmonidae. The record is from RNAcentral.
GCCAAACGUUAGCUUCUUGAAACACUGUCUCAACUGACUCAUUUAAAGGCAGUAAAAAAUGUAAAUGGUGAGUAUUGUUAAUUCAGAUUAGAAAGAGAGGUGAGUGGAACAAAAUAAUACUCAAAAGAGUGUCUGACCCUACGCUAUAUUCAAUUGUAUGUUGGCUAUGAUACAAUAUGAUAUAACAUUUAACCUGUCUAAAAAAUGUAUACUGAAGACACUAGUCAUCCCUGCCUCUACCUGACAUUGUUUAAAAACAAGUAAACACUGAAUAAAGAUCAUACACAAACAAUAGGCUCCUAGAAAAUGUUAUAUUACAUUCAAGUCUUGCUCAAAGCAGCCAACUAAAGUAAUAUAUCCAACGUUAGUUCAAUCACAGGCUGGUCUGAAUGCAUCUCCUCACAGUUUCAUUCAGUAGUACAACACAGUUUACAUUGCAUUUUAUCAUGGGCACAGUGGGAAUUUAUACCUGUGAUGUUUAAGUUAUGUCUUACCCCGAUAAGAGAGAGAGAGCGAGAGAGUACAUCACUUCCAGCAGAUCUCCUCGCUGAGGGUGGCGUUGAUCAUGCACUGCUUCUUGUGAGGCUCGAUGUGCUGUAGUCUCCACAACUGGACGCUCGCAGUCGGAUCACACUGACACAGGAUGUCCAUGCGCUGGAUGGCCUUAGGGAUGCACUCCUGUUGGACUGGAAAACAAAGAGACAUUUGUCUGGGUCUGCCUCUUCUGCCAUGGUGGAUGAGCUACCUUUUCUGACAGCCUUUACAGAAUCCCCCACCAAAAACGGACCAAGCAGCGGAGGAAGAAGAAGCACCAGGAGAGGGGUAAUAUGGACUCAUAGACUUUGGAGAGGUGCGUUCAGGAUUCCUGGAGAUGGGAGGAAUUUCUCGACGGAGGUGGACCGUGGGCUCAGGCUGGGGAGUAUUGCCGCCCGCAGUGGGAGAUCGAGGCGGUGAUAGCUGAGAGGCGCUGGUACGAAGCAAGGGAGCACAACAGGCAUGAGACGCAGCCCCCCAAAAAAUUUUUGGGGGGCACACGGGGAGUGUGGCAGAGCCAGGAUUUAAUUCUGGGCCAACUCCCCGUGCUUACAGGAGGCAGCGCAGUACUGGUCAGGCACCGUGUUAUGCGGUACAGCGCACGGUGCCCCCAGUAUGCGUUGAUAGCCCGGAGCGCUACAUGCCAGCCCCCCGCAAGUGCCAUGCGAGAGCAGGCAUCGAGCCAGGACGGAUUGUGCCAGCUCAGCGUGUCUGGUCUCCAGUGUGCCGUUUCGGUCCAGGCUAUCCUGCGCCGGCUCUGCGCACUGUGUCUCCAGGACGCUGGGAGGGCUCAGUUCACCCAAUGCCUGCGCUUUGCCCGUGCCGGGCAAAAGUGGGCAUUCAGCCUGGAGUUUGGGUCGCAAGCCUACACACCAGAACUCCAGUGCUCCCCCACAAUUCGGUUUAUCCUGUGCCUCCUCCUCGGACCAGGCCUCCAGUGAGUCGCCCAAGCCUGGUUUAUCCUGUGCCUCCUCCCAGGACCAGGCCUCCUGUGGGUCUCUCCAGCCUGGUUUAUCCUGUGCCUCCUCCCAGGACCAGGCCUCCUGUGGGUCUCUCCAGCCUGGUCUAUCCUGUGCCUCCUCCCAGGACCAGGCCUCCUGUGGGUCUCCCCAGCCUGGUGAGUCCAGUGCCUGCGCCCAGAGCCAGGCCUCCUUCAUGUCUCCCCAGCCUGGUGAGUCCUGGGCCAGAGCCGCCAGAGCCGCCCGCCAGUCUGGAACCACCAGAACCGCCCGCCAGUCUGGAGCCGCCAGAGCCGCCCGCCAGUCUGGUGAGUCC